UACAGGGGGGGCAAGCGUUGUUCGGAAUUACUGGGCGUAAAGGGCUCGUAGGCGGCCAACUAAGUCACACGUGAAAUCCCCAGGCUUAACCUGGGAACUGCGUGUGAUACUGGAUGGCUUGAAUUCGGGAGAGGGAUGCAGAAUCCCAGGUGUAGCGGUGAAAUGCGUAGAUAUCUGGAGGAAUACCGGUGGCGAAGGCGGCAUCCUGGACCGACAUUGACGCUGAGGAGCGAAAGCUAGGGGAGCAAACGGG
RNAcentral lists this ribosomal RNA (253 nucleotides) under uncultured bacterium. RNAcentral describes it as "partial 16S ribosomal RNA". It matches the Rfam family "Bacterial small subunit ribosomal RNA", at positions 524 to 776 of the family's 1533-position model. The record is from RNAcentral.